RNAcentral lists this transfer RNA (74 nucleotides) under Prevotella sp. Its description in RNAcentral is "tRNA-Asp". It matches the Rfam family "tRNA". From Rfam's summary of the family: Transfer RNA (tRNA) molecules are approximately 80 nucleotides in length. Their secondary structure includes four short double-helical elements and three loops (D, anti-codon, and T loops). The record is from RNAcentral. Lineage: Bacteria; Pseudomonadati; Bacteroidota; Bacteroidia; Bacteroidales; Prevotellaceae.
GGUGUGUUAGUUCAGUUGGUUAGAAUGCCAGCCUGUCACGCUGGAGGUCACGGGUUCGAGCCCCGUACACACCG